AGCCCGGUGGUGCAGCGGCCAAGCACAGCGGCCUCUGGAGCCGCAAACACCAGUUCGAAUCUGGUCCGGGCUACCA
RNAcentral lists this transfer RNA (76 nucleotides) under Nitrososphaeria archaeon. Its description in RNAcentral is "tRNA-Gln". It matches the Rfam family "tRNA". From Rfam's summary of the family: Transfer RNA (tRNA) molecules are approximately 80 nucleotides in length. Their secondary structure includes four short double-helical elements and three loops (D, anti-codon, and T loops). Lineage: Archaea; Thermoproteati; Nitrososphaerota; Nitrososphaeria. The record is from RNAcentral.